Molecule: ribosomal RNA, 492 nt
Filed under: uncultured bacterium
Lineage: Bacteria
Description: partial 16S ribosomal RNA
Rfam family: Bacterial small subunit ribosomal RNA
Source: RNAcentral
AGUGAACGCUGGCGGUAGGCCUAACACAUGCAAGUCGAACGGCAGCACAGUAAGAGCUUGCUCUUACGGGUGGCGAGUGGCGGACGGGUGAGGAAUACAUCGGAAUCUACUUUUUCGUGGGGGAUAACGUGGGGAAACUUACGCUAAUACCGCAUACGACCUACGGGUGAAAGCAGGGGAUCUUCGGACCUUGCGCGAUUGAAUGAGCCGAUGUCGGAUUAGCUAGUUGGCGGGGUAAAGGCCCACCAAGGCGACGAUCCGUAGCUAGUCUGAGAGGAUGAUCAGCCACACUGGAACUGAGACACGGUCCAGACUCCUACGGGAGGCAGCAGUGGGGAAUAUUGGACAAUGGGCGCAAGCCUGAUCCAGCCAUACCGCGUGGGUGAAGAAGGCCUUCGGGUUGUAAAGCCCUUUUGUUGGGAAAGAAAAGCAGCAGGUUAAUACCCCGCUGUUCUGACGGUACCCAAAGAAUAAGCACCGGCUAACUUCGUG